RNAcentral lists this ribosomal RNA (351 nucleotides) under uncultured bacterium. RNAcentral's name for it is "partial 16S ribosomal RNA". It matches the Rfam family "Bacterial small subunit ribosomal RNA", at positions 338 to 681 of the family's 1533-position model. The record is from RNAcentral.
CCUACGGGGGGCAGCAGUGGGGAAUAUUGCGCAAUGGGCGAAAGCCUGACGCAGCGACGCCGCGUGAGGGAUGAAGGUCUUCGGAGCGGAAACCUCUGUCAGCAGGGAAGAACGGUCACUGGGCUAAGCAGCAGUGAAUGGACGGUACCGGCAAAGGAAGCACCGGCUAACUCCGUGCCAGCAGCCGCGGUAAUACGGAGGGUGCGAGCGUUAAUCGGAAUUACUGGGCGGAAAGCGCGCGUAGGCGGUAUGUCAAGUCAAGGGUGAAAUCCCCGCGCUCAACGUGGGAACUGCCUGUGAAACUGGCAAACUGGAGUGUGUGAGAGGAUAGUGGAAUUCCAGGUGUAGCAG